UACGUAGGGUGCAAGCGUUGUCCGGAAUUAUUGGGCGUAAAGAGCUCGUAGGCGGUCUGUCACGUCGGCUGUGAAAACCCGAGGCUCAACCUCGGGCCUGCAGUCGAUACGGGCAAACUAGAGUACUGCAGGGGAGACUGGAAUUCCUGGUGUAGCGGUGAAAUGCGCAGAUUCAGGAGGAACACCGGUGGCGAAGGCGGGUCUCUGGGCAGUAACUGACGCUGAGGAGCGAAAGCGUGGGGAGCGAACAGG
RNAcentral lists this ribosomal RNA (252 nucleotides) under uncultured bacterium. Its description in RNAcentral is "partial 16S ribosomal RNA". It matches the Rfam family "Bacterial small subunit ribosomal RNA", at positions 524 to 776 of the family's 1533-position model. The record is from RNAcentral.